AAUAUGGGAAACGAAUAAAUUAUCCAGAAGACUGGAAUAGGGUGGCAAUCUAUCCAAUUCAUUAUUAAAGGGGACAAAAAAUAAUGUGAUUAUUAUAAUAAAGGAAUAAUCUUAGGAAAUAUAAUGUAUACAUUAGGUGUUAAAACUGUAUUUUGGAUAGAAUUAAAUCUAUAGCUAAAGGUAUCGUAAUAGGUUACCAUAGUGGUUUCAAAAUGAACAAGUCAAUAAUAGAUCAAAUUUUAUUAUUAGACAAAUAUUUCAAAAAAUAUGGGAAUUCAAUCAGGAU
Molecule: non-coding RNA, 286 nt
Organism: Cinara cedri
Lineage: Eukaryota; Metazoa; Arthropoda; Insecta; Hemiptera; Aphididae
Source: the annotation of a GenBank genome assembly